This 508-nucleotide ribosomal RNA is filed under the name uncultured bacterium. RNAcentral describes it as "partial 16S ribosomal RNA". It matches the Rfam family "Bacterial small subunit ribosomal RNA", at positions 28 to 523 of the family's 1533-position model. The record is from RNAcentral.
GAUGAACGCUAGCUACAGGCUUAACACAUGCAAGUCGAGGGGAAACGAUAUUGGAAGCUUGCUUCCGAUAGGCGUCGACCGGCGCACGGGUGAGUAACGCGUAUCCAACCUGCCCAUCACUUGGGGAUAACCUUGCGAAAGUAAGACUAAUACCCAAUGAUAUCUCUAGAAGACAUCUGAAGGAGAUUAAAGAUUCAUCGGUGAUGGAUGGGGAUGCGUCUGAUUAGCUUGUUGGCGGGGUAACGGCCCACCAAGGCGACGAUCAGUAGGGGUUCUGAGAGGAAGGUCCCCCACAUUGGAACUGAGACACGGUCCAAACUCCUACGGGAGGCAGCAGUGAGGAAUAUUGGUCAAUGGGCGAGCACCUGAACCAGCCAAGUAGCGUGCAGGAUGACGGCCCUAUGGGUUGUAACAAGCUUUUAUAAGGGAAUACAGGGAGUCUCGUGAGACUUUUUGCAUGUACCUUAUGAAUAAGGACCGGCUAAUUCCGUGCCAGCCGCCGCGGUAA